Molecule: ribosomal RNA, 799 nt
Filed under: uncultured euryarchaeote
Lineage: Archaea; Methanobacteriati; Methanobacteriota
Description: bacterial SSU rRNA
Rfam family: Archaeal small subunit ribosomal RNA
Source: RNAcentral
UUGAUGUUCUUCGUGACAUGGCGGACUGCUCAGUAACACGUGGACAACCUACCCUCGGGUCCGGCAUAAUCCUGGGAAACUGGGGAUAAUUCCGGAUAGGCCACAGCUGCUGGAAUGCACUGUGGCUCAAAGUUCCGGCGCCCGAGGAUGGGUCUGCGGCCUAUCAGGGUUGUAGUGGGUGUAACGUACCUACUAGCCUACGACGGGUACGGGUUGUGAGAGCAAGAGCCCGGAGAUGGAUUCUGAGACACGAAUCCAGGCCCUACGGGGUGCAGCAGGCGCGAAAACUUUACAAUGCGGGAAACCGUGAUAAGGGAAUCUCGAGUGCCAGCAUAUAAUGUUGGCUGUCCAGAUGCCUAAAAGCAUCUGUUAGCAAGGGCCGGGCAAGACCGGUGCCAGCCGCCGCGGUAACACCGGCGGCCCGAGUGGUAACCGUUUUUAUUGGGUCUAAAGGGUCAGUAGCCGGCCAGGUAAGUCCCUUGGGAAAUCUGGCAGCUCAACUGUCAGGCUGCUAGGGGAUACUGUUUGGCUUGGGACCGGGAGAGGUGGGAGGUACCUUGGGGGUAGGGGGGUGAAAUCUUGUGAUCCUCGGGGGACCACCAGUGGCGAAGGCGUCUCACCAGAACGGGUCCGACGGUAAGGGACGAAAGCUAGGGGCACGAACCGGAUUAGAUACCCGGGUAGUCCUAGCCGUAAACGAUGCUCGCUAGGUGUCAGUCACGGUGCGACCGUGAUUGGUGCCGUAGGGAAGCCGUGAAGCGAGCCACCUGGGAAGUACGGCCGCAAGGCUGAAACUUAA